This is a long non-coding RNA of Orbicella faveolata, 325 nucleotides long. The record is from RefSeq and is a predicted model, not a curated record. Lineage: Eukaryota; Metazoa; Cnidaria; Anthozoa; Scleractinia; Merulinidae.
CUGAUCUCCUAGGCUAAUAUGAGCCGAUCCUGCUGGCAACGACUUUGACAGAGUCAGAAUGGCAUCAAAUGAUACGAUUGAGAACGACUGUUCUAAAGCUCUUUCACAGCAGGGAUUGUUUGAUCUAGGAUGUCUUGCACCAGCAUUGGCCCUUAUUCUGGUUCUUGCUUCUCUGAAACAGCGCACCAAAUUUAAACUGGAGUGGUUCGAUGGACGUCCUGGGCUACUAAUGUAAGCUUUAGGUCUAUACUACAAGCUAUAAAACGAUCAAGAGAUCAAAGAGAGAACCGAAGGGUGAAAGAGUUAAUCUCCCAUGCAUAGAGGA